GAUAAUAUGGCUGAGAGUGUAGGCGAUAGACUGUAAAUCUAUAUACGGAUUUAACAAUCCUUUUAUCA
RNAcentral lists this transfer RNA (68 nucleotides) under Hymenopenaeus neptunus. RNAcentral describes it as "tRNA-Tyr". It matches the Rfam family "tRNA". Rfam says of the family: Transfer RNA (tRNA) molecules are approximately 80 nucleotides in length. Their secondary structure includes four short double-helical elements and three loops (D, anti-codon, and T loops). Further hydrogen bonds mediate the characteristic L-shaped molecular structure. tRNAs have two regions of fundamental functional importance: the anti-codon, which is responsible for specific mRNA codon recognition, and the 3' end, to which the tRNAs corresponding amino acid is attached (by aminoacyl-tRNA synthetases). tRNAs cope with the degeneracy of the genetic code in two manners: having more than one tRNA (with a specific anti-codon) for a particular amino acid; and 'wobble' base-pairing, i.e. permitting non-standard base-pairing at the 3rd anti-codon position. Lineage: Eukaryota; Metazoa; Arthropoda; Malacostraca; Decapoda; Solenoceridae. The record is from RNAcentral.